This 191-nucleotide small RNA is filed under the name Pseudomonas aeruginosa PAK. RNAcentral's name for it is "potential small antisense RNA". Lineage: Bacteria; Pseudomonadati; Pseudomonadota; Gammaproteobacteria; Pseudomonadales; Pseudomonadaceae. The record is from RNAcentral.
UGAUGUCGUACUUGGCAUGCUGGCCGACCUUGAGCUUCUUCGGAUCCUCCAGCAGCGGUUUCAACGCACGCAGCACCGCGUCACGGUCCAGUUGCUCCGGAACGCCCAUGUAGCUGUGGGCCAGCGGCACGUAGGCGGCCUCGCCCUCCUUCACGGCGAAGGACACCCCCACCACCUGCGCCUGCUGGGCG